Molecule: long non-coding RNA, 279 nt
Organism: Scylla paramamosain (green mud crab)
Lineage: Eukaryota; Metazoa; Arthropoda; Malacostraca; Decapoda; Portunidae
Exons: 4
Source: RefSeq, a predicted model, not a curated record
AUUAAGAUAUCAAAGUAUCUCAUAAUCUAAUAUCUCAUAAUGAAAUAAAUGCUGGAAAUCUCGAACUAACCGCCAAGCGCCACGCCAAUGUUGUGAAAAAUGUAGUACUAAGAGGUUGUGGUGCAGGUUGAGAGCCAUUCGAUGACAGAAACUAGUGCAGAUUUAAGGGGAAACUUCAGCAUUAUCAGCCCCGUAAACUGGCUGUGAAUCUUCUUUAUCCACGCACAUCCUUACUUACUGUCCAAGCAAGCACCAUCACACGUGCCCCUGACUUGGUGA